GAUGAACGCUGGCGGCGUGCUUAACACAUGCAAGUCGAACGGAGAAAGGGUAGCUUGCUAUCUUUUCUUAGUGGCGGACGGGUGAGUAACGCGUGGGUAACCUGCCCUUUGCAGGGGGAUAACAGUGAGAAAUCACUGCUAAUACCGCAUACCAACUUCUUUCGCAUGAAAGAAGUUUGAAAGAUUUAUCGGCAAAGGAUGGACCCGCGUUGGAUUAGCUAGUUGGUGAGAUAACAGCCCACCAAGGCAACGAUCCAUAGCCGGCCUGAGAGGGUGAACGGCCACACUGGGACUGAGGCACGGCCCAGACUCCUACGGGAGGCAGCAGUGGGGAAUAUUGCACAAUGGGCGAAAGCCUGAUGCAGCGACGCCGCGUGAAGGAUGAAGGUCUUCGGAUUGUAAACUUCUAUCAGCAGGGAAGAAAGGGCCUAUGGCCUAUGACGGUACCUGACUAAGAAGCCCCGGCUAACUACGUG
This 476-nucleotide ribosomal RNA is filed under the name uncultured bacterium. Its description in RNAcentral is "bacterial SSU rRNA". It matches the Rfam family "Bacterial small subunit ribosomal RNA", at positions 28 to 507 of the family's 1533-position model. The record is from RNAcentral.